Long non-coding RNA from Heteronotia binoei (common prickly gecko), 663 nucleotides. RefSeq lists it as uncharacterized. The transcript is spliced from 4 exons. Lineage: Eukaryota; Metazoa; Chordata; Lepidosauria; Squamata; Gekkonidae. The record is from RefSeq and is a predicted model, not a curated record.
AGAACUACAGUGUCGUUCACAGAGAAAUGACCUAGAAAAUCUCUGUCACUUUAAGAGACUUUCACUAGCAGGAAGAGAAGGCUAGAAGAGAAAGGAAGAGGUUACAACAGAUGGUUGUGCAGUUUAACUUUUGCCUGUGAAGUCAGAAACAACUAAAAAAGAAGCAUAUCCCCAGAUCUGCAAUAUGAUCCUCUGAGGAGUGAGAUGUAAGUGGGCCAAUGAAAGCUACCCCUGAUAUUUGGUUCCGCGUUGCUUUUGGAGAACCAGUCUCAAGGAGGUUGACAAAAUAAAACAUGCAGCCUGAAAGGGCACUUAUGACUCGAGCAGUUGAGAAGAAGACAGCUACAGUUAGAAAACUUGUCAGUGGGAGGAGGAAACUGAUCGACCCUUAAGUCACAUAAAUUUGCAGGGACAUCAAAAGCCAGAGGCUCGUUCCCCCAUAUUUGUAUUCAGUUUCCUUCUCAGACACAAACUGGACAUACUCCAAUGAAUGGACUGAAUAUUAGAACAACUCUGUGUCAAAUGAACUUAUGAUUGUAAAAACUGUCUUAAUAUUGGUAUGGUUUCUGCUUUGAAUAAGUGAGGUAAGUUUAUUAACCCUGUUCUGAUGAUAUACACAGUGUGAAUAAAUGUAAUGGACUUGUAGCAACAAGCCCUGCCUCA